UACGGAGGGUGCAAGCGUUGCUCGGAAUUAUUGGGCGUAAAGGGUAGGUAGGUGGUCUCAUUUGUCUGGGGUGAAAGCCUUGAGCUUAACUCAAGAAGUGCCCCAGAAACGGUGAGACUAGAGUCCUGGAGAGGGUCGUGGAAUUCCCGGUGUAGCGGUGAAAUGCGUAGAGAUGUGGAGGAAUACCGAUGGCGAAGGCAGCCCCCUGGGAUAACACUGACGCUCAUGCACGAAAGCGUGGGGAGCAAACAGG
Molecule: ribosomal RNA, 253 nt
Filed under: uncultured bacterium
Lineage: Bacteria
Description: partial 16S ribosomal RNA
Rfam family: Bacterial small subunit ribosomal RNA
Source: RNAcentral